UGACACCCAUAAGCGUUACUUA
This 22-nucleotide non-coding RNA is filed under the name Bacillus methanolicus MGA3. Lineage: Bacteria; Bacillati; Bacillota; Bacilli; Caryophanales; Bacillaceae. The record is from RNAcentral.